Molecule: ribosomal RNA, 254 nt
Filed under: uncultured bacterium
Lineage: Bacteria
Description: partial 16S ribosomal RNA
Rfam family: Bacterial small subunit ribosomal RNA
Source: RNAcentral
UACGUAGGGUGCGAGCGUUAAUCGGAAUUACUGGGCGUAAAGCGUGCGCAGGCGGUUUUGUAAGCCAGGUGUGAAAUCCCCCGGGCUCAACCUGGGAAUGGCAUUUGGGACUGCAAGGCUGGAGUGCGGCAGAGGAGACUGGAAUUCCUGGUGUAGCAGUGAAAUGCGUAGAUAUCAGGAGGAACACCGAUGGCGAAGGCAGGUCUCUGGGCUGACACUGACGCUCAUGCACGAAAGCGUGGGGAGCAAACAGG